AGAGUUUGAUCCUGGCUCAGAAUGAACGCUGGCAGCGUGCCUAACACAUGCAAGUCGAGCGGUCCGCAAGGACAGCGGCAGACGGGUGAGUAAUAGUUGGGAACAUGCCCAGAAGUGGGGGAUAGUCCGCCGAAAGGCGGAGUAAUCCCGCAUGUGAUCGCAAGAUUAAAGCAGCAAUGCGCUUCUGGAGUGGCCCAACGCCUAUCAGCUUGUUGGUGGGGUAAUGGCCUACCAAGGCUCCGACGGGUAGCUGGUCUGAGAGGACGACCAGCCACAAUGGGACUGAGACACGGCCCAUACACCUACGGGUGGCAGCAGUUGGGAAUAUUGCACAAUGGACGAAAGUCUGAUGCAGCGACGCUGCGUGAAGGAUGAAGGCCUUCGGGUUGUAAACUUCUUUUGGCGGGGGGUAAUCUUGAAAGUACCCGCAGAAUAAGCACCGGCUAACUACGUGCCAGCAGCCGCGGUAAUACGUAGGGUGCGAGCGUUAUUCGGAUUUACUGGGCGUAAAGCGUGUGUAGGUGGUUUAACACGUCCUUGAUUAAAGACUCGGGCUCAACUCGAGGAAUGUUGAGGAUACGAUUAGACUAGAGGUUUGCAGGGGCAGAUGGAAUUCCCGGUGUAGCAGUGAUAUGCGUAGAUAUCGGGAAGAACACCGAUGGCGAAAGCAGUCUGCUGGGCUCAUCCUGACACUGAGACACGAAAGCGUGGGGAGCGAACGGGAUUAGAUACCCCGGUAGUCCACGCCCUAAACGAUGCUGACUAGGUAUGUGACGUAUCGACCCGUUGCGUACCGUAGCUAACGCGUUAAGUCAGCCGCCUGGGGAGUACGGCCGCAAGGCUAAAACUCAAAGGAAUUGACGGGGACCCGCACAAGCGGUGGAGCAUGUGGUUUAAUUCGAUGUUAAGCGAAGAACCUCACCCAGGUUUGACAUCUCUGGAAAGCCCUAGAAAUAGGGCCGUGCCGCAAGGAACCAGAUGACAGGUGUUGCACGGCUGUCGUCAGCUCGUGCUGUGAAGUGUACGGUUAAGUCCGUAAACGAGCGCAACCCUCGUCGUAUGUUGUAUUUUUCAUACGAUACUGCCGGCGUUAAGUCGGAGGAAGGUGGGGAUGACGUCAAGUCAGCGUGGCCCUUACGCCUGGGGCGACACACGUGCUACAAUGGGCAGCAACAAUGGGUUGCGAAGCGGCAACGCGGAGCUAAUCCCACCAAACCUGCCCCCAGUUCGGAUUGAGGGCUGCAACUCGCCCUCAUGAAGCCGGAAUCGCUAGUAACGGCGGAUCAGCCUUGCCGCCGUGAAUACGUUCUCGGGUCUUGUACACACCGCCCGUCAAGUCAGGAAAGCUGGUAAUACCAGAAGCCCGUAUUUAUACGGUCCACGGUAGGAUCAGUAAUCAGGACUAAGUCGUAACAAGGUAUCCCUAUCGGAAGGUGGGGAUG
RNAcentral lists this ribosomal RNA (1442 nucleotides) under groundwater metagenome. RNAcentral's name for it is "bacterial SSU rRNA". It matches the Rfam family "Bacterial small subunit ribosomal RNA". The record is from RNAcentral.